CAACAGAAAUCUACUCUCACAGUUCUGGAGGCCAGAAGUCUAAACUCCAUACUGCUCAGCUGUGCACUGGCUGCGGGCUUCAGGGGAGAAUCCGUUUCUGGUCUUUUCCAGCUUCUGGUGGCCAGCAGCAUUCCUUGGCUCGUGGCUGCAUCACUCCAGUCUUCAAGGCCAGCAUGUUCAAAUCUCUCUCUGCUCCAUCUUCACACGGCCUUCUCCUCGGUGUGUCUAAUGUCCCUCUGUCUCCCUCUUACAGAGAUACCUGCAUUGGCCAGAUGCAGUGGCUCACACCUGUAAUCCCAGUGCCUUGGGAGGCUGAGGCGGGAGGAUCACUUGGGGCCAGGAAUUCAAGAUCAUGCUAGGCAACAUGGCCACCUCCUCCAUCCCCCUUGGAGACUGAAAAAGGGGAACUCGAAAGAAAAACUGAAAAUUUCAGACCGAGCUACAGCGCAGGAGACCAUGCUGUCAUCCUGAAGCAGAGGCUGGGGACACCACCAAGAGGAUCACAGCAUCCUCCAGGGUUCACUGACGCCACUGACCCAGGUUUUCUUUUCUUUAUUUUAUUUUAUUUUUUUUUAAUAGAGAUCAGAAUCUUGCUAGGUUGCCCAGGCUGAUCUCAAACUCCUGAGCUCAAACAAUCCUCCCACCUCAGCCUCCUAAAGUGCUGGAAUUACAGGCUUGAGUCACUAUACCAGGCCUGACCAGGAACUUUCUUCCUCCCCUCAUUUGAACUUUCUUAGCUCCCACUCAAGUCUAAAUGCUACGUGGUAUCCUUGGAACUCCUAAUUCCUAAUUUUUCAGGAAGUGAAAUGAUAUUCUUAAAGUAAAAACCAAAAUCUGCUUUUGCUUGAUUCUUUGAAUUUACUGUAUUUAUAUGCCAUAUAUACAUAUAUAGAGAGAGAGACAGAAAAAAGUACAUAUAGAUAUACAUGCACAUAUGUACACACACACACAUCAGAUUGUGGUAGCUUUUGGAAACUCUCUGAGGCACAGAAAAUAAGUUGCCUGACAAGACAUCAAAGAAUUGCAAAAGAGGCCACAGCCCCAAAGGCCUUACUGACUGCUUUGUGAUUUGUAGCAUGACAACUGAUAAGCAUCUAUUGGCUUCAGUAAAUAGAAGUUGAAUCAUAACAUUUGUUCCAGGAAACAGUAACUGAAGUCACAAAUCAUAAAUAAUAAAGCAUGAAAAAUCUUCUUUUAGUCUAAUGGACUAAAAGAUUUCUUGCUUUUUUCAUUUCUGCUAAUGGCCUCUCUCUCUUGGCACUGCCAGAGCUGGCCCAUUAAAGGUGAAUUGAGCCUCAGUUUGCAGGCAGGACGUGGUCCAAAAGAUCAUUUGUAAGUUGGUUGUGUGGACCAAAGAAUGUGUUUUCCCCUAGAAACCAUUUUUCUCAGGGUGACUGGGUUCUCAGGGUCGCUUGCACAGUGCUGUUCAACUUCUACUGAAGCUGAGCUCUGGGUCUUUGAGGGCAGGUUCUCUGCAGUGCAGGAGGGAGAAAUCAGGUCACCUGCUGCUUCUUUGCAUAGAGCCCUGGCUCUGAGCACAAUUUAAGCAUAAGUUUUCUUUUCUACGUUCUCAACUCCCUUUUGGUGUCCAGGUCCAGGGCCCUAGUCCCUGGAUUGCAGCACCCUCUCCUAAUGUACUUUACCCACCUCUGGGCUGCUUGCCUGCUGAGGCGGGCCUGGGACCCCAAAUUACCCAUUUAUUCCUGCUUCCUGACCAAUCAGACUUUCAUUCCCUUAGGGCGGUUGAUAUCAGCUAAGGGCCAGCAGGGAAAGCAAAAGGAACAGAUAUGAAUUCACACUAGUAGGUGAAUCAUAGAGAACCUCUUAACCCUCUUAAUACCUUCUCAUGUUAAAAAGAAUUAGUUGUGGGACUUGAGAGUCCUUGUCAGGCAGUAUGGGUCAGGGAUGAACAAGGUGACUAAGGAUUCAUUUUCACGCACACAUUAGUGGGAUUCUUAGCCUCUUUACUGCACCUGCUUCCAGAACACUGGCAGUCAGUCAGGAAACGAU
This is a non-coding RNA of Chlorocebus sabaeus (green monkey), 2010 nucleotides long. The record is from RefSeq and is a predicted model, not a curated record. Lineage: Eukaryota; Metazoa; Chordata; Mammalia; Primates; Cercopithecidae.